Molecule: ribosomal RNA, 462 nt
Filed under: uncultured bacterium
Lineage: Bacteria
Description: bacterial SSU rRNA
Rfam family: Bacterial small subunit ribosomal RNA
Source: RNAcentral
GCACAAGCGGUGGAGCAUGUGGCUUAAUUCGACGCAACGCGAAGAACCUUACCAAGGCUUGACAUACACCGGAAAGCAUUAGAGAUAGUGCCCCCCUUGUGGUCGGUGUACAGGUGGUGCAUGGCUGUCGUCAGCUCGUGUCGUGAGAUGUUGGGUUAAGUCCCGCAACGAGCGCAACCCUUGUCCCGUGUUGCCAGCAGGCCCUUGUGGUGCUGGGGACUCACGGGAGACCGCCGGGGUCAACUCGGAGGAAGGUGGGGACGACGUCAAGUCAUCAUGCCCCUUAUGUCUUGGGCUGCACACGUGCUACAAUGGCCGGUACAAUGAGCUGCGAUACCGUAAGGUGGAGCGAAUCUCAAAAAGCCGGUCUCAGUUCGGAUUGGGGUCUGCAACUCGACCCCAUGAAGUCGGAGUCGCUAGUAAUCGCAGAUCAGCAUUGCUGCGGUGAAUACGUUCCCGGGC